Molecule: non-coding RNA, 5345 nt
Organism: Paramuricea clavata
Lineage: Eukaryota; Metazoa; Cnidaria; Anthozoa; Malacalcyonacea; Plexauridae
Source: the annotation of a GenBank genome assembly
UGGUAAUAUACAUGUCGACUACGCAGGUAAUCGCGUUCGACGAAGAAGAACGCAUACUAAUCAUUUCGUAUAUUAAUCCCGCGUGUUUUACGAUGAUGUCCCGCGUGUGUCUGCAUAUGCCAUUCGAUUUUCAGGUUUGACGCCAUCUAGCUGGGUGGCUUGGUGGUACGAAUUAACAAAAUACGAGUUACUUCCUUAUAAGUGUAAUUUAAUUAACCUUGGCAUAUGCAUAUAUAUAUAUAUAUAUAUAUAUAUAUAUAUAUAUAUUAUUGUGUAUAUUCGUAUGUAUUAUUAUAAAGGUAUAUUUGUGUAUAUUCGUAUGUAUUAUUAUAAAGGUAUAUGUUUUGUUAUGUUGAAAAGCAUGCAUUGCCAUAAGUCACUGGCGCACCCACGACACCAUAUAUGCAUUGUCGUGACUGGGAGAGGGGUCUCUAUAAACAUAAAUGCCGUUGGGAAAAUAUGUUGACCGCACUACAUAGAUAAUUUUAUACCUUGUUUUAUUUCUCAGUCUAAUGCUGCUUGUUUGUUUUUAUGACAAUUGCGCGGAUAAUUGUGAAGACGUUUUACAGGGAAAAUCGGAAGUAUGAGCAGAUACAUGUUUGCUUGGAGUACCUAUUUUUUCUUUCUGCAGAAGAGGCUGCUAUCUACUUUGCUCUGACGCGGUAUUGACGACGCUAUAUACUUUGACGACGACGCCACCAUGUAAUACCCCAGAAAAACGUAUACAGUGAACUAAUGGGGUGAAACUUAUUUAAUCGUAUGUUUAAUUAUUAUAUAUAGUUAUUUAUUUCUAUACCAAAAAAACAUAUGUGAAAGCGAACUGAAAAGAAAUUACCAAAUUAAGCGAAGAAAAAGAAGAUCUAGGUAAGAAGAGCUAUAUGUUAUAGCUAUCGACUACGAGGCCAUGAAGCCAUCUGAUCUCGCAUUUCACAUCAUUACAUUUUACAUGGAAAAGUUUGAGUAAAAAACGCAAAGGGGUCUCAACGAGCACACGCUCCGACCUCCGUCAGUCGCCUUGCAUGCAGUAGGUCGUUAUAAAGCUAUAUAUAUAUAUAUAUAUUAUAAUGAUAUUUGAUUCGUUAGGGAAUAACCAACGGGAAAAAGUAAUAACUAAUUUACAAACUAGUAAGUGUGAAGUAUACCAAACAGACAGCAUGCGGAUUGAACAGCAUGACUGCAGUAAACAGAGGAUGACAGAGUUGUGGCAAGGUCAACAAUUGAAACGAGUACUCAAACUACCGACUACGAAGCCAUGAAGGCGCAUAUGAUAUUCUUUCAGUCAUUAAAUUUUUGUUUCCUUAAUUUACUGCAAUGGUUGAAUAUGUGCUAAAAUGUUAUUAACUGUUUUUUUAUUUCAAACCAUCCUUGGAAUCGCAUUUGCAUGGUUGUUUCUGACCCAAUCGGGGUUUUUGAAUUACUCCAAUUUGCUAAACUCGUUUACGUUUUCAUUAUUUUUAAGAAAGUUUAAAAACGUAAAAACGAAAAGACGUAUUCUCACGCAGAAGAGACGUAUAAAGGCAGUGUGCAUUAUUUUAAAAAAGUUUAAGAAUGUGCGACUGGGUCUUCGGGCACACGAAAAGAGCCACCGAGGAGUUGUUGCGAGCCUUAGGGGAGUGGGUCCCUGACAAAUCAAACAUCCCCCCCCCCCGCCAAAAAAAAACUAUCGAAUCGAUGUUGGCGGAGCUGAAGCAAAGGUAACAAUCAACAAUAUUUAUUUUAUAUUAAUUUUAGGUCUACAACCUAUUUAUACGGAGAAGGUUUUCAAAUUAAGGACAGGUAAUGUAUAACUGCAGAACACUAUAAAUGACGACUUAACAUUCGCCGACAAAGUGCGCAUCUUUUUAUAUUCACCAUAUAAAAACGUACCACAGCAGAGAUUAAGUGCGUGACGUAUAUUGUUCGUGUUUGUGACGUUCACACCACAAUUUUUCAUGAGUAAUUAAUUACUUAUUAAUAUGCCUCAUGUGUGCCUGUAAAAGCUUAGAAUCACUGACCCCACCUCUACCACAUGUUGAUACCAAGGACACCAAUGACGUGGCAAUAUCACCCAUGAUGAUAUUGAUGAUGAUGACGUUAUGAUUGAUGAUGAUGACGUUCACCCAUGAUGACGUUACUCUCCUGACGAUGACUGAAAUAUAGUCGAAACGUCGUUAAAAUUAAAGCUACAAAAUGAGGUGUUUCAAUAACUGUUUUUUUUUUAGACCGAAAAUUAUCCUAUAGAUCAGAACGUUGACGAAAUGGUACGAAAGUAAUAAUUUGCCAUUGGUUCUGUACAGUCUCAGGCGUUGAUUGUGCAGAAAUUUGAAACAAAUUGUGUCUAACACAAUGUUUGGUUAUCUUUUAGAUUAAGGGAUCAAAUUUAAUUUUUUGUCCAAAUUCGGAAGAGAAGUAAGAACAGAAAAUUUACGAGUGUAAAAGAGCACAUACUUCUUGAAUAAAUAACAUAUAGCCUACAUUGCCUCAAACUAAUUGUUACCUUUGAAUUAUCUUUUUAUAUUUAGUGAAUAGCCCAUUGAAUAUUAUUUCGAUACUCUUUAUAAAAGCACCAAAAACCAAUUGAAGGUAUAUACAUGAAAUAGGCAUUCACCAUUAAUUGUAACACUUAAAAAAGCAUUAACUUGAGUUUUUCCAUGAAACGAAACGUUUACGGAGCGCUCGAGAUUUAUUUUGUAUUUAUUCUUGAAAUUUAAACGUAUCUACGCAGUCGUUAUUUUAAUUUUCUUACAGGCAAACAUAAAAUUGAAACACUUUGAUGAUGAAAUGGAGAAGGUAAUGUAUACCUGCAGAACACUGUAAAUGGCGAUCUGAAUAUUAACACUGGCUGAUAGCUGCAAAGUUCCCGAUUCUUUACGCGACGCCAUCAGCAUUCUCAUCUCCGGCUUUAUAUGUUCAAGAACUAGCUGACCAAAUACUGUUUAAUUUUGUAUUUGUACGCGACAAAGGGAGAUAGAAAUUUCAAUUUAUUAGUUUCCUCCAUCCAAGUCUGCAUUUUUUAUAACGAUGGUGAUCCAUUAUUCUUCAAAUUUAGGGGUACUUAUACGCAGUCUUUAUUUUAAUUUUCUUACAUGCCUACAUGAACCUUACUGCACAUUAUCAAAAACGUUAUCAUGUAGCUAUUUUCAAAUACGUUGAAAAGAGAAGCCAUUCACACAUGAUGAAUUAAUGAUGCAUAUUGUCAACUUUUGCAUCUUAAUUUGGCAUUGAUUUCGAUAACCGUUUAUUUUGUACUUAUUUUUUAUGUAUUGUUCAAAUUAAUUUAGGGAUUUUUACGCGGUAUUUAUUUUAAUUUUUACAGGCCAAUACUUUCCUAAAUGAAGAAGUAGUGACAAAGCUGUAUACUCUCCAUAGUAUAUUUAUAUUUGACAAAAGUAGCUAUAAAAUUUCAAUUUAUUAGUCUGCUCCAAGCCUGCAUUUUUUUAUAACGAUGGGACGUGAUCCCCUCAUCUCAUUCAAUCAUGCUUGCUGCAGUCACAAUGUUAUUGCGUUAAAAUUUCCAGCUACUAUAUAGUUACGUAAGGCAAUAUUGGGACGGGGGGGGAGGAGAAAUUGAUACAUAAAGAAAAAAUGCUCAACGUGUUCCUUGCUUUUCAAGAGUAUAGCAGUAGGAAGAUGACAACUGGGCCCUCCCGGAAAGUAAAAAAGUGACUUUGCGUUCUGAUCAAGUCUUACCAGCACACAGGUCUUUCAAUAUCUUCACUUAUAUAACAAUUUUAUUUCAUAUGCAUGUCUGCAUGUCCAAAACCCAUACAUGAUCAAGUUUUUAACCCUGUUGAUAUUUGAGUUGUACAUGCAUGGAUGUCAACAAACGGGGGGUGAUUCAAUAACUGUUUAUUUUAGUCGGAAACUGUUUCAGGAAACGCCAAGACAGAAAAUUUGGUACGAAACAAUAAGUAAUAACUUGUCAUUGGUUCUAUAAAGUCUCAGGCGCUGAUUGUGUAGCACAAUGCUUGGUUAUCUUUUAGAUUAUAAUUAAGCAGUUAGCUAUGGUAUAUGAACCAAACAGAAAUGAACUGUAAAAACAGAACAUUUACGAGUAUAAGAGAACACAUACUUCUUGAGUAAAUAACAUAUACAUUGCCUUAACACGGAGGAAGUAUAUCUUUACUCUUUGGCCCUAACCAGACUCAGCCACUGAGCCACGCAUGCGAGUAUGCCACCUGUUGCUGUUUAAUUUAAAAAUGCAAACGAAUAUGGCGAAAAUAACUACGCAAAACAUGUGCAACAUUUUCAACAAAAAAUCACGACACACAGCUCAAAAUGCUCUUAUCGCAUAUAAAGUUUACAUUUUCGAGACGACUUGCUAAAAGACAAAUAGUCUGAUUACUAUCACUUGGUGUUGUGUGGCUUGUCAAGGGCUGUUUAAAUACAGCAUAUAUAAAGGUAUAGUAUACGACAUGCAACAGCAAUUUUAUAAAUUUGUAUUCCCACUCCUUAUAUCAACAAAUAUAGAAUCGCACGUAUAUUACGCAAUCGAACUGGAAACCAUGGAAUCGAGAAGUGAGUAAAGAUGAGUAGUCUACGAAAACAAAAAGAAUCGCACAUGCGCAGAACGGAUUGUAACCCGUCUUUAAACUAAUUGUCACCUUUGAAUUAUCUUUUUAUAUUUAUAGUAUUAGUACGAUUGCGGCCGCUUUCGAGCACGUUUAUGGAAGCGCAACUAAACUGUCGAAGGUAUAUAUACAUGAAUGAGACAUUCACCAUUGUAAAAAUUAGAAAAAGUAUUAACUUGGGGUUUUCCAUAACACGAAACGUUGACGGAAAGCGCUCGAGAUUUAUUUUGUAUUUAUUUUUCAAAUUUUAGGCGUGCGGUCUUUAUUUUCUUACAGGCCAACGUUAACCUUACUGUACAUAAUGCAUUUUCGAGUGGGUUGAAAAGAGACGUCAUUCACACAUGAUAAAUAAUACAUAAUACAUAUUCAACUUUUGAUUGGCAUUGAUUUCGACAACGUGCGAAGGCCCUGGGUACGAGGUUGUGCAUUCGAAUUCUGGCCACCUCAUUGGCGAGGUUGUGUGAUCCGAUCCGUGAACAUGCCUCAAAAAUAUUGCUUUAAAAAUUUGAAACAAAUUGUGUCUAAUGCAAUGCUUGGUUAUCUUUUAGAUUAAGCACUUGGCUAUGGUAUAUGAACCAAACAAAAAUGUACCGUAAGAACAGAAAAUUUUCUUAAAGGCAAACUUCAACUUACAGCUCAAUGCUGAAUAUAGUAUAUCAAUCAAUUUGUUGAAGGUAUAUAGGCCUAAUUGAGCGAGACAUCGCAGCGCGCUGAGUUUCAUGGAAUAGUAGUAACUUGUCUAUAGUUCUGCAUACAAUAUCAGGCACGGAUUGUGCAGCAAUUUUAAACAAUUGU